UGCUGGUCUGAGUGCAUUGAUGUUUACAAUUAAUUGAUCACAACCGGUUACAGAUUUCUUUGUACCUUCUCCACUCCCACUGCUUCACUGACCAGUCUUAA
Molecule: unclassified non-coding RNA, 101 nt
Organism: Pan paniscus (pygmy chimpanzee)
Lineage: Eukaryota; Metazoa; Chordata; Mammalia; Primates; Hominidae
Rfam family: Y RNA
About the family: Y RNAs are components of the Ro ribonucleoprotein particle (Ro RNP), in association with Ro60 and La proteins.
Source: Ensembl